Molecule: ribosomal RNA, 452 nt
Filed under: Bacillus sp. R-26882
Lineage: Bacteria; Bacillati; Bacillota; Bacilli; Caryophanales; Bacillaceae
Description: bacterial SSU rRNA
Rfam family: Bacterial small subunit ribosomal RNA
Source: RNAcentral
GAACGCUGGCGGCGUGCYUAAUACAUGCAAGUCGAGCGGACCGACGGGAGCUUGCUCCCUUAGGUCAGCGGCGGACGGGUGAGUAACACGUGGGUAACCUSCCUGUAAGAYUGGGAUAAYUCCGGGAAACCGGGGYUAAUMCCGGAUGCUUGAUUGAACCSCAUGGUUCAAUCAUAAAAGGUGGCUUUUAGCUACCACUURCAGAUGGACCCGCGGCGCAUUAGCUAGUUGGUGAGGUAACGGCUCACCAAGGCGACGAUGCGUAGCCGACCUGAGAGGGUGAUCGGCCACACUGGGACUGAGACACGGCCCAGACUCCUACGGGAGGCAGCAGUAGGGAAUCUUCCGCAAUGGACGAAAGUCUGACGGAGCAACGCCGCGUGAGUGAUGAAGGUUUUCGGAUCGUAAAACUCUGUUGUUAGGGAAGAACAAGUACCGUUCGAAUAGGGCGG